AACCCUUCUCUGCCUCCACACAAACCCUGUUUAGGGUUUUAGAGAAAGAUGAGGGGAGCAGGAGCACCAGACUUCUUCUACAGAGAAGCUCAACGCCUUGGUUAUUUAGCUCGUUCUGCUUUCAAGGUAAAAUUCUACCGUUUCUAUUCAGUUUCUCAUACACUUUGUUUUCUUCUACUUAAUAAUUCAUCUUGUUGCCAAGAACAGCUUCUUCAGAUACAAAAGCAAUACAAGCUCAUAACCCUUGGUUCCUCUGUUCUUGACCUUGGUUGUGCUCCUGGUGCUUGGCUUCAGUCACAUUUCAGGUUUCUUGUCAGAGCUUGGGACCGUUAAAGAAUGGUGGGUCUGUUGUAGGUAUUGAUGUCAAGAGCAGAAGGUGAAGGUUCCUCCGCUUCAUUGUGAUGCCAGGGUUAAAACUGUUUGUGCUGAUGUAAUGAACCUCCCCAAACAUCAAGUUAGAGCGCUUUCUCCUCAGGUAUCAUUCCAAUUAUUUAUUUGUUUUAUUGUCAGGAAUCAUUUUUUGAGAUGAUGAAUGCUAUGAGUUUUUCUAUUUAGGUUUUACAUAUUAUCAUUGUGGGAUUGCAGUGAACCUGAUAACUCUCUUGCUAUUUAAUGGAUCCAUAUUCCACAAGGUCCCAGAUUGAAGUAUUUGCAAUUAUUUAAUCAGAUCAGUUUAAUCUGAACUAUAUGUAAUCUAUGUAAAUGGGAACUUAUUAAAUGAUAUGCUUUACAUUUGAUUUUUAAGGUCCUAAGCUUUUACAAGGUUAAGAUUUGAUAAUUUAGUAGUUUAUGCAGAACUUGUGUCCUAUGCAUCCUUAUGGAACUGUAUGUAAGAUAUUUAAAUGAAAUAAUGAAUGCCUCUCAUAUAGCAAGAAUACAUAUUUCAUUGAAAAUGUUAAGAAAAUUUGGGAUUGACUUGCUUUCUAAUGUCCGUGCCUUAGCUUAUUCAACCUAUAAAGUGAUCAGCUCCCUCUUUUCUGCAUGCUAUUUUUUUUUUCUUUACUGUUGCUCCAAUAUCCAACUUGGAACUGCAGCCAUAGGCAAAAAAUUUAGGGGGUUCUCAUAUGUUUGGUUUUUGUGCGUGUUCUGCAGCAGAAGGGGUUUUCUGUGAUACUCUCAGAUAUGUGUCCGCCGGUUUCUGGAAUCACAACUAAAGAUGCAGCUUUAUCUGCCGAGUUAGGGAUGCAAGCAGUUGAUCUGGCUAUUGGUAGGGCAGCCUUAGCUCAUUCUGAUGGUGAUACUAAAAGGGAUGGGCAGUCAGAUUCUGAUUGUGGUGCAGAUGAUAAUGGUUUAUUACAAGCAGGUGGCCACCUGGUAAUUAAGCUUCUAGAGAGUGAGGAUAUCCAAGGUGGGGAAUAACUUUUUAUGUUGAUAACAAUUGUUGGUGCCAUAACAAUGCAUUUCUUACUGCCGUUUUGCUUCUUGUUUUGUAGAAUUUAGCCGGAUUUGCAAACCACUCUUCAGAAAGGCAUCAUGGUUGAGGCCAAAGGCUACAAGAUCCUCAUCACGAGAGAUUUAUUUAAUUUGCCAAGGUCUUAAAUUGUAGUAACAUAGAUUUUGUUGAGGUGAUUGUUGACAACAAACUUAUUGAGAUUGCAAAUUUUGAAUGACGGGGAAGUCUAUGGGGUAUCAUUGUCUUCGAAAUGAAAUAUUUAUUUUAGAUUCAAAAGUUAUGUAAAAUAGUUAUGUAAAGGUGAAGAAAAACA
Molecule: unclassified non-coding RNA, 1706 nt
Filed under: Hevea brasiliensis (rubber tree)
Lineage: Eukaryota; Viridiplantae; Streptophyta; Magnoliopsida; Malpighiales; Euphorbiaceae
Source: RNAcentral